This 375-nucleotide ribosomal RNA is filed under the name Pseudovorticella sp. RNAcentral's name for it is "partial small subunit ribosomal RNA". It matches the Rfam family "Eukaryotic small subunit ribosomal RNA", at positions 582 to 975 of the family's 1831-position model. Lineage: Eukaryota; Ciliophora; Oligohymenophorea; Sessilida; Vorticellidae. The record is from RNAcentral.
AUUCCAGCUCCAAUAGCGUAUAUUAAAGUUGUUGCAGUUAAAAAGCUCGUAGUUGAAGUUCUGGUUGCUCGGGUCCUCAGCCUAAGGCGGGGAUACCAACAAUCAUCCGCUUGCAAGCAUAUGUUCGGCCUUAAACAGCUGGCUAUGUGAGUAAGCAAUUUACCUUGAGAAAAACAGAGUGUUCCAGGCAGGUUUGUCCGGGAUGCAUUAGCAUGGAAUAAUAGAACAUGACUGAAGUCUAUUGAUUGGUUUAAGGCUUUAGUAAUGAUUAAUAGGGACAGUUGGGGGCAUUCAUAUUCCAUUGUCAGAGGUGAAAUUCUUGGAUUAACGGAAGAUGAACUUCUGGGAAAGCAUCUGCCAAGGAUGUUUUCAUUA